AGCAGGAAGGGUGUGGUUACAAGAGAAAGAUAGAUAUGAAGUGUGUAAUAGUAGUACUUGUCUGUUUUUUGGUAGCAGCUCAGUGCGUACCACUUAAUAAAAGAGAAGCAGCAACUGACAAGGAAAACUACAAGGUUCUACUGAAAGAUUUGACUGAUCCCUCUGCAACUGAUGGCAAAAAACUCAUGUGGAAUGCCGUUAAAAUAGCACAAAUAUAUCUGUGCAGUGUUGGUGCAGACGAUUGUGAAGCCUUAAAAGAAUACCUCCAAGAGGAAGAUAUGGAGGAGAAGAAACUUGGUGACCAAGAGACCAAGGAUGGUUUGAUCAAUGAUGCUGAUAAAAUCAUGAAAAAAACUCAUAAAGACUUCGUGAUGAUGGACAAAAUCAGGAUUGUUUUAAUAGAAUUGAUCUGCAGGAACGAACCAGACCAAUGUGACUUCUGGAGAAAUUACGAGGGAGAUGCUGAAAAGUGGGAAGAUAGUGUCCAGCCAGGUCCUCAUCCUAAAUAAAAAGGGUAAAUAAGAAAACAAGCAUUUCAAGAAAACAAACAACGUUCCUACAGUAAAAUAUGAAUAUUAAGUUACAACUUGAACACUUCUUUUGUAGUCUGGUUUAUUAGUACCUAUACAGUAUACAAUAUACAUUUGUAUUGUGCAUUGUGCAAUGACAUCAUAGUGUGUAGAAAAGAACAGUUUUGACAUUUUAUUUUGAUACUAGCUAUGAAAUCGAUAGUGAUAAUUUAAUACUAGAUUUGGAAAAAAGAUGUUUGGUGUAUUUUAGUUUACUUAACAAACAGAAAUAAAAUAGUCUCUUUUUUAGCAUGUGUAACCUUUUAGUUUGUGUAUUGGUAACAGUUGCUCUCUUAUCAGUAAAA
Long non-coding RNA from Bolinopsis microptera, 874 nucleotides. RefSeq lists it as uncharacterized. Lineage: Eukaryota; Metazoa; Ctenophora; Tentaculata; Lobata; Bolinopsidae. The transcript is spliced from 2 exons. The record is from RefSeq and is a predicted model, not a curated record.